This 494-nucleotide ribosomal RNA is filed under the name uncultured Bacillota bacterium. RNAcentral's name for it is "uncultured Firmicutes bacterium partial 16S ribosomal RNA". It matches the Rfam family "Bacterial small subunit ribosomal RNA", at positions 379 to 866 of the family's 1533-position model. The record is from RNAcentral. Lineage: Bacteria; Bacillati; Bacillota.
AACUCUGCCUGAAACAUCCCCGGUGGUAAAGAAAGGUUUUCGUGUGGAAAAUCUUAUUUAGUGGGGAAGGACAAAGUGCGGGGGGAAAAACCCGGGGGGAGGCGGUACCGGGAGAAGAACCCCGGGCAAAUUAUGUGCCCGCAGGCGGUGUAAUAUGUAGGGGGCGAGUUUUCUCCGGAUUCUGUGGGUGUAAAGUGUGCAGAGGCGUUUAUUCAAGUCCGAUGUGAAAGCCCCGGGCUAAACCCGGGGGGUGCCUUGGAAACUGGGUGAUUUGAGUGCGGGAGAGGCAAGGGGAAUUCCGCGUGUAGCGGUGAAAUGCGUAGAUAUGGGGAGGAAUCCCAGUGGAGAAGGCGCCUUGGGGGACAAAAACUGACGGUGAGGCAAAAAAGCGUGGGGAACAAACAGGAUUAGAUCCCCUGGUAGUCCCCGCCAAAAAAGGUGAGGAAAGGUGUAGGGGGGGACACCAACUAAAAGCGAAGGUCAGACAAUAAGCA